CAUGUUUCACUGAAUCGCCCUAAGUGCACUGUAGAAACAGCAUAAUUUGAGCUGAGAAUUUAAAAUUGUGAUGACUGACAGCCCCUCCUUCUGAGAAAUUGUGUCAGCGCAGAAAGGAGUCCCAGCCAGCUGCAGUGUCUUUCCUGCUGCUUGGGCAAGCAGAAACAGAGGUGGGAGCAGUCCAGCUACCAUGGGAGUCAGCGACUUGUAAACUGAGAGCAAGUGACCUGGGAUCAGCCAGAGGGAAGGACGUUGUCACAAGGUUGGUUUUACAAUGGUCUAGUGCAGCCAGAUUUAGGAUGCACUAAAUGAAGGAAAAAAGCCAAAGGUGUUACCAAAGGUUUGGAUGUGGCCAUGAGCUCCUGUUCUCCAAGACAAAGGAGAUGACAGAAGAGAAACAAAAAGGAUGUUUCAAAUGGGGAGGAUCUUGAUUUUAAGAGUCUUACCCCUGCUCCCACAAUCUAUUUCACUGUGAUGCCCUGGCACUUCUUUCCUCUCAUCAACCCCUUACUAUCUCACUAGAAACACCCUCUCAUCUGCUGAAAAAAAUAAAGCAUCUCCUGGAGCAACAAAACCCCUCAGCCAGAGCUAAA
Long non-coding RNA from Pseudopipra pipra, 593 nucleotides. RefSeq lists it as uncharacterized. Lineage: Eukaryota; Metazoa; Chordata; Aves; Passeriformes; Pipridae. The record is from RefSeq and is a predicted model, not a curated record. The transcript has 3 exons.